This 121-nucleotide non-coding RNA is filed under the name unclassified sequences. RNAcentral describes it as "Flavobacterium-1 RNA". It matches the Rfam family "Flavobacterium-1 RNA". The record is from Rfam by way of RNAcentral.
GUACAACCAGCGUCCACAUUUCGCCUCUGGCAUUUCCCUGUACGUUAGCGAUGAUCCGCAAGGUAGCAAUGGGUGUACCACCUAUAGCGUCAGAGUUCCCUGAUCAGGAUGACGCUUAGGU